This 407-nucleotide ribosomal RNA is filed under the name uncultured bacterium. Its description in RNAcentral is "partial 16S ribosomal RNA". It matches the Rfam family "Bacterial small subunit ribosomal RNA", at positions 28 to 526 of the family's 1533-position model. The record is from RNAcentral.
GACGAACGCUGGCGGCGUGCCUAAUACAUGCAAGUAGGACGCAGUUGCGAACGGGUGAGUAACGCGUAGGUAACUGCCUCUUAGAGGGGGGUAACUAUUGGAAACGAUAGCUCAUACCGCAUACUAGUAGAUGGACCUGCGUUGUAUUAGCUAGUAGGUAGGGUAAUGGCCUACCUAGGCGCCGAUACAUAGCCGACCUGGGAGGGUGGUCGGCCAAACUGGGACUGAGACACGGCCCAGACGCCCACGGGGGGCAGGAGUAGGGAAUCUUUGGCAAUGGGGGGAAACCUGACCGAGCAACGCCGCGGGAGGGAAGAAGGUUUUCGGAUCGUAAAGCUCUGUUGUUAAGGAAGCGGUACUUAACCAGAAAGGGACGGCUAACUACGUGCCAGCAGCCGCGGUAAUUC